RNAcentral lists this ribosomal RNA (518 nucleotides) under uncultured archaeon. RNAcentral describes it as "bacterial SSU rRNA". It matches the Rfam family "Archaeal small subunit ribosomal RNA", at positions 354 to 867 of the family's 1478-position model. The record is from RNAcentral.
AAUGCACGCAAGUGCGAUGGGGGGACUCCGAGUGCAGUCUUCCAAAACGGAAGGCCGCUUUUCUGCACUUUAAGCAGGUGCCGAAACAAGGGGUGGGCAAGACGGCUGCCAGCCGCCGCGGUAAUAGCCGCACCCCGAGUGGUAGUCAUUGUUAUUGGGCUUAAAGUGUUCGUAGCCGGACACACAAGUCUGCUGUGAAAUCCAUGCGCUUAACGUAUGGACAUGCAGCGGAUACUGUGUGUCUAGGAACCGGACGGCGUCGAGGCUAUUCCCGGGGUAGGGGUGAAAUCCUAAAAUCCUGGGAGGAGCACCUGUGGCGAAAGCGCUCGACGAGUACGGAUUCGACGGUGAGGAACGAAAGCCAGUGGAGCAAAGCGGAUUAGAUACCCGCGUAGUACUGGCUGUAAACAUUGUGCGUUUGAUGUCGGACAACCUCCGAGGUUGUCCGGUGCCGAAGUGAAAACGUUAAACGCACCGCCUGGGGAGUACGGUCGCAAGGCUGAAACUUAAAGGAAUUG